RNAcentral lists this ribosomal RNA (208 nucleotides) under uncultured bacterium. Its description in RNAcentral is "partial 16S ribosomal RNA". It matches the Rfam family "Bacterial small subunit ribosomal RNA", at positions 568 to 774 of the family's 1533-position model. The record is from RNAcentral.
CGCGCAGGCGGGUUGGCAAGUCAGAGGUGAAAUCCUGCAGCUUAACUGCAGAACUGCCUUUGAUACUGCUGAUCUUGAGUACGGAAGAGAGAGACGGAAUUCCAGGUGUAGUGGUGAAGUACGUAGAUAUCUGGAAGAACACCAGUUGCGUAGGCGGUCUCUUGGUCCGUUACUGACGCUCAGGCGCGAAAGCGGUGGGGAGCAAACA